GUAAAAUGGUAUUAAUGUUUUCCUUUAUAAAAAAUUACCAUAGUGCAUGUCUAUUGCCAGACUGCGCAUGUCUUCUAUAUUCCUAUCAGGAAUUUACUUAGUUUGCUUUAUGUAUUUUGUAGGUUUAGGGAAUAAAAUAGUGAACAAGACAAAGAUUCUACCCUCAAAGGGCUUUGCCACUAUCCUGGGAUGGUGACGAGGAUAGAAGGAACAAAUGAUGGUUUGGAACCUGGUUCCAAAGGGAGAUUUCUGUGACACCGACAGUGAAAUUCGAUCAGAAAGCCAUUCUUGCCAACACUGAGUACAUAAAGGCUUGAUCCUGUUAUUUCGUCUUGCCCUUACAUGCAAUGAAAGUGAGCUGGAGCUGGACCUCAAUAGCAGAGCACUUGCCUAGCAUCUGUGAGGUCCUGGGUUCUAUCCCCAGCACUGCAAAAUAAAUAAAAAUAAAUAAACAAAAGGUAGUGAUUGCAGGCACUACAAGGAGUUGUUUGUUGACUCUCUUCCUGUCUCCCUUCUCAUCUCCCUUUUUUCCUUGGUCUCAUUCUCAGUUUUCAGAGUGCAGUCACUAUUUUGUAAUCCUUCCCUAAAAUGUAGUCAGGUGAUUCGAGGACAGCAGUAUAGAGGACAGCCAACCAACGCGGUUCUGAUGAGGAUCCCGUGGAUAGCAGAGUGUAUGCCCAGUGGGGCUGUCAGAUCUCACUACGUUUGCGCUGGUUGAAUAACUGUGGCUUGCCAACUCGCUCUCCCUCUUCAAACCUCCAUUUUCUCAUUAUUAUUAGAAGAUGAGAUAGCAUGAUUUUAUUUUCUGAGUUCCCUUCCAGUGCUACAAUUCAGUGAUUCAUAUGUUCCUGAAAACUUGUAUGUGCUUUUUUUCAAUAAAUGGAAAUACAUUUUCCAGUGAGCUUGGAAAUAUAUUUUGCAAUUAUCCUCUCCCCUGGUUUUUAACUCACCAUCAGUUUGUGGGAGCACCUAAUACUCGGUGCUGUAAGUUCUCCCAGAGGUUAAUUACCUGUGAAGAAUGGGGAACUAUGGGAGGAGAGGUGUAAAAACUGCAGGAGAACUUUGAGGUUAAUCUCUUUGGUAGUGUGCAUACGUAUCUCACAUGAUCUCCAGUUUCCACCUGGAGGCAGAUUAACAUUGGGCCAGAUAGACUAGAGAAAGACAAGCUACUAGCACAAUCCAGUACUCAGAAUCCUAAAUCAACUCAUCAUGAUUGGCUUCUUCCUCCUAUAGUUUACCCAAUCAGAGCAUAGACAGUACUUUAAGGAAAAACCAAACCAAACCAACUGGAUUCUUCAGUAUUCCCGUAGGAAUCUCGAAUAGUUCCAUUUUCAUUUGUUUUAGCUCCUUCUUCUUAAAGUGGGUAAAAACUCCAGAUAAAGAAAUAAAUGAGAAAUUUGUCAAAAAAUUUUAAUUGCCAACAAAAGCCAUCUUCAGUAGACCAAAGGAAACAAAGUUUCAGUUAGGAGGAAUAACUUUUUCAGAUCUGUUGCACAGGAUGAGGAUGAUGAUGAUGAUGAUGAUGAUGAUGAUGAUGAUUAACCAUGAUUUAUAGGGCUGGGGAUUUAGCUCAGUGGUUUCACCACCUGCUGUGCAAGCACAAGGACCCGAGUUUGAUCCCCAGUACAAAAAAACAACAAAAAACCAUUGUUUAUAAUAAUGUAUUUCAAAUUUUUCCAAGAGAAUAGAUUUUAAGCAUUCUCAACUACAAAGAGUAAGUAUGUGAGGUCAUGGAUAAGUUAAUUAGCUUGCUAUAGUCAGAAUAUAUACGUAGAUCGAGACAUCUCCUUCUACCCCAUUAAGAUCACAGUUGUUAUUUGUCAAUUAAAAAUUUAAAUUUAAAAACCACAUUCUUUUCCAUUUGUAAUAGAACAGCCCUAGGCCCCAAAUUUGCUUUCUGUAUGAGUCAAGCUGAUUCAAAGAUUGCAGUCCCAAAACAGUGCCUGCCUGACUCAUGACUCUGACCUGAAGAGUAAGCAUUGUCUUGUUCUAGGAUGGACUAGACAGGAAAUUCCAACUGCAUAUGGAAGAGAUAGUGUAUCUAAACACACACACUUACACACACAACAUGCAUACAUAUAAAACAUAUGCAAGACACACAUAAAUGCAGUAUGCACAUGCAAUGUAUACACCACAUAUUACAUAUACUGUACACAAACACAUCCAAUGCACACAUGUACACAAUACACACCUGGUGCACACAUGCAACUUACAUGUGUAUAUACAUACAAUGCACACACAAUGUAUACAUACAAAACAUACACAAGACACAAUAUACACACAAUGAACAUGUAUACAAUAUACACACCAUAUAUACUAUAUAUAAAACAACUCAAUACACACAUAAACAAUACAUACAUAGAUAUCCAAUACAUGUGCACUUAUAGACACACAAAUUUAUCUCCUGUUGUACCUGUUUCCCUACUUUCUUUCAUUGAAAGCUUGGAAAAAUGGGUGAGAUGUCUAACCAUCUUUUUGUGGUUCUCAGGGAUAUCAUAAGUGAGAAUCUGAAGAUACAAAUCUUGAUUUUUGUGAAGGAGUUUAUUGGUAGUUUUGAAAUGGCAUUAGUUUAUAGGUAGCCCCACUUAAAAAAAAAACAGGAAGAAAGCAAAAUGAAUGUCAUCCUAAAGAUUUUGUGGAAAGUGGGUGCAGAAAGAAGUCCCUAUGUUCUCUGUUGCCCUUAGCGUUUUGGUUUGCAGCAUUAUGUUGAGCUGGGCUGGCUGCAUUCCACUGACAAGAUGUUGCAGUUUGUGAAAAAUCACCCAACCUGAGUGUAAAUUGGUGUUCACCUACCCAUUCAGAAUUUAGUCAGUGGUCUGUGGAGAAGGACCAAGUUAGGAUUGCAGGUGCCACUGAGUUAGAGACCCUCCAUUAGUGAAACCUUGCACUGUUUGAUCCAGCUGGUUUUCUAGUGCCGAUUUGCCUCUGGAGUUGAGCCUAGGACCUUCUCUAUUUCUUCUUUCUGUGACCUCAGAGCUAUUCCAAGAGUUAUUACUUUAUUCAGUUAUACCCUGAAGUCAUAGGGAGAAAUGGACCCUAAGACAGGCAUUGCAUUUGCCCAUUUGUUUAACCAGAAGGUUUUGUAAGGAAAGUCUCCAGAUGAUACAUUUCAUACUCAUAGAAAUUCAACAAUAUUGUUUUCACCGACCACCUGCUACCUGCUUAGUUUUUACUUUCAGUGGCCACUCUGAUACAGUGUACACAAAUCCCUGAAGCUGGGAAGUGGACUAAAGAGCUGAUGUUAAUAGGAAGCUCUCAACUUUCAACUAUACAGGAAGUCUGUGACACAUAAUCCACAGAAGAUCCCUGGAUGACCUGUUUUCUUGAGAAUGUUCCAUACCUGUACAUGGGAGAGAAACACGAUGGUAUUAAAGGUGGCCAUGUGACAGUGGCCAUUUCCCAGGAUCUGAUUCCAGAACAUCUGUUCUGUCGUCUGAGACAGGCUUUCAGUCAGUCAUCUGCCUGUUUGGUCUACACGGUGCAGAUUGAAAGGAUUUUUAUUAAUGACACCGAGCAACAAAGGAAGAAGGGUAAUGGGACCAUGGACUGUACCUGGCUGAUGGGCUUUUUGUUAGCCCUUCCUGAAUAGUAACAGCAUCCUGGAGCCUGGGGAAAGAGUCUGUUUUGAAUCCUCCAAAGUAACGCUGCUGCAGACCAUGAGCAAGACAGAGGGAAUGCCAGCCUGCGCGUGUGAUCUCGAAACAUGGAUGUUUUCGGUAAGUCAUCUGAAAGACUUGACAUUUAUUAGCUUUAAAUUUCAUCAGGCAGCAUUUAUUUGGUGCUCUGGGCCAUCUUUCAAGUACAUAGCUAUUUCUCUAUAACCCAAGCCACAAGACCUUGGAGAAAAUGUUUAGGGUCAGAGCCAAGAGAGCGACAGAGUAACCUAGUGUAUUUGUUUCUGAAAUUUGCAGGGCAGUAGGAUCUAAGGAGAAUGCAUUUGUGGUUAGGAAACAAACAAACGAACAACACGUACAAUUAAACACACAGUCAACUAACAAGGUGUAUAUAUAUUUUAAAUGCAUUUCAUGUUAGUGGAAUAGUAAGGGAUUAAUCAGUGGUCGGAGAGGAAACAUUGUAUCUGAUGACAAGUUUGCUACCCUUUUUCAAGCACUGGGAUGGGUAAGGUGAGAAUGCAGUUCCCUGGCCUGUUCAGCAAAUGCUUACUGAGUAACUUUUUUUUUUUACAAAUGGAGUAUAAUGUGGCAAUUUGAUACGUGUAUACAGUGUAUCAUGAUGAAAUGGGGCAGUUGGCAUUUCUAUCUCCUUAAAUAUUAAUCAUUUCUUUGCGUUGAGAAUCUUCUAAUUCUUCAUAAAAUAAAGAAUACACCGUUACAAGACGUAGAUAUCCUACUGUGAUGUAGAACGGCAAGAGCAUAUUCUUCCUAGCUAUUAUUGAUGUUUUCUGUUUGUUUUUGCAAUAUUGGGGUUUGAACCUAGGGUCUUGCACAUGCUAGGCAAAUGUUCUGUCGUUGAACUACACCCCAGCCCUUCUGUUAUUUUGAGACAGUGUCUUACUAAAUUGCCCAGUCUGGCCUUAAACCUGUAAUUCUCCUGCCUCAGCCACCCAUGUAGCUGGGAUUAUAGGCAUGUGGUACCACACCUGGUUUAUUCUAAGGAAUUUCUAAGUAAACAUGAUUCUCCAAGUGACAGUCUUGAUCUAGGGAUUAGAACUCAAACACUCCAAACUAUAAAUGUUUUAAAAAUUACAAAAUAUACACCCAAGUAAUGUGGACUCACAGGAACAUUUUAUCAGCUUCAUCCCUGAUAUUUUCUGGAAAGUGAGCCCUUCAGUGGAACCCGGUUCAUUCUUGCCUAUCUUGGUGACCUUGGAGAACUUAUGCUGGAAUGACUCACCUGAAAAAAUGCAAAUACAUAGCCAGGCGUGGUGGCACACAAUUGUAAUCUUUGGGAGGAUGAGGCAGGAGGAUUGCAAAGUUGAGCCCAGCCUGAGCUACUUAGCAACUUAGUGAGACUGUGUCUUAAAAUAAAAACAAAAUUUAAAAAAAGGGCUGGGGAUAUAGCUCCGUGCAAAAGCCCUGGGUUCAAUACCCAAUACAGAAAGAAAGGAAGGAAGGAAAGAACAAUGCAUAUCUCAGGGAUCUCCAGGUCAUCUUGCACAUUUAAAAUUCAGUGCCCUGUAGUGAAAUUAAUUAAAUAAUGAUGCCCUCUCAUUUCUGCCCGGCGUUGAUGGGGUUAGCUUGGUGCGUCACCCUUUGCAGACGGCCCACUGCACUAGCCCGGGUGCGCAGUGGGCCUGCCUGUGGGUCCCUUCUCCCCACUGCAUCCAUCUUGGGAAAGCAGGACUUUCAGAGUUUGUGGUUAAUAAUUCAUUCCCCUGCAACAUUGAAAAAUUAGGCACUAUCUGUUCCAAAUAUUAUAUUCACAUCAAUAUCCUGGGAUUCUUUUGAAUUAUUGUCCUUCUCUUUCCAAGGAGCACCUAACUCUGCCUUUCCCUGCGGUUGCUGUCACAGCCCCCUACCCCGUGAAGCCCCGUAUUUUGUUUUACAUUGAGCACAAUUUAUUAUUUUUCGUUCUUACCAAACAUCUCCUUUCUGAAGCAGAGCUGUGAGCAACACUUUAAAUGAUGCUCGGAUGUCACUCUUGUUAGCAGCUGGCUGUCUGCCUCAGAGUGGUGCAUUAUUUGGGUUUCAAAACAGCAUUUUUUCUCUCUUAGAAAUGUUAAAUUAUGAAGUGCAGGAAACCACAUGAAUGCGGCAGAGCGAAAAUGCAGACGCGGUGUUAUCUGGAAAUGCCAGCUUCAUGAUUCUGCCAGCAAGUGUGUCCUCCCCACGGCGGACAUAGGAGGCCUCUUCGCCUGUUUGGCGGUGGUCUUCUAACACUUGUCUCCAUCCUCACUUAGGCCGUGCUGUGGUCGCCUUCUCUCGUUGAAUCAGGAGAUUUGUGAAGACAGUUGCUGUCUGCAUCUAAGUCCUGCCUGACCCUCAUUCCCAGGCUUCCCUGAAUCCUCCGGGACUUUACUUACUGCUUCCUCUUUGUGAACAUCUGUAGCAGCUGCUUCAUAGAAAAGCUAUUGCUGUGCAUUGCUGUGU
This 6050-nucleotide long non-coding RNA is filed under the name Heterocephalus glaber (naked mole-rat). RNAcentral's name for it is "lncRNA (ENSHGLG00000049947.1)". Lineage: Eukaryota; Metazoa; Chordata; Mammalia; Rodentia; Bathyergidae. The record is from RNAcentral.